UGUAUAUAUUUUAAGUGGUCAUUAAUAGACCAUAAUUAUUGCACAAAUAGUAUUUAGUACCAAAAGAUUUCCUAAAAAAUAUUAAAUAAAUAUGAAUGAACUAAAUUCUAAAAAAAUAAAAAUAAAAAAAUAGGGUAUAUGGUCACAUUAUACCUAAGUAAGGAAUUCCUGAAAGGUUAAAUAGCUACAAGAAAAAUAUAUUAAAGUUUCCAGCUCCAUCACACCAGAAUAAAAUUAUAUACUAAAUGUCAUCGAAGAAACAAUCAGUGCAUGAUAAUAUGCUGUAAUGUUUCCCAAAAGUUGCUGCAAAGAGCUGUGUAGUGAAGCUGUUGUUGUCUCUCCUAUUAUUGACAGCGCUGGUUUGUGUGGAACCAUUGAAGGAUAUUGAACCACGUGACCGGGUGGCGGCGACAACGCUGUUUGGACUCUCAUUCCAACGGCACCUAUUCACUGCAGGGAAUCCAUUACUUAGAAAGGAUGCAAUGCAGAACUUCCCCAUGUAGAAACAAACUCAUCAACAUCUCUGAUGGCCUGGGGGUGAGUACAUUUUCUGUAAAUGUUCAUUUUUAGGUGAAUUAUUCCUUUAACCAGUGUUAGCAAAUUGAACCUUGCUUUUGUCAUUUAUUCACGCCCUGUCAUCAUUGAGCUAUAAGCAAGGCACUUAACCAACCAAUGUUGCUGCAGAGGAACUUUCUUUGCAGUGAAUAUGCUGUAAUUGGCCUUGCAUGACAGCCACUUGUUAAUUAUCAAAUAACAAAUAACUGGAAAUUUGAAUUGGCGUCAGGGGCUACACCCCAUAAGGAAUUUUAGAGGCCCUAUCCUAUUACCAGUCUCUUUUUUUCUUUUCUUUAUGCAAACACAUUAAAGGAUCAUAUCAAUUUAGCUAAAUUAUGGCUAAUUUGAUUGAAAAAUACGAUAAGCUUUAAAUGUUUUAAUAUGGUGAUUUUUCCUGCCUGUUUAUUUAUACAUUGUUAGAAGGGUGUAACAUUUUAAUGUGUUUUUCAAUCCGUUUACCAGUUCAGCAUGUUUGAUUUCGGUUGAAUUAUGCUUUCAUUAGGAUUUAACCAAAUAUUCCAUUUAAAAUCAAAGGGGGGCCAAAUGUAAGAAGCUUAGAAAGUUUUACAUCCAUUGAAAAACUAAACUAAUGUUGUUCAGCCACUAACCAUAAUAUUGAUAAGUUAAGCAGGCAUGGAGAAAAUUAAAAAGUUUAUGCUUUUAAGAGCACUUAAAAAGCACAUUUGUGACUAGUAAAGCAUUAACCAUAAUAUAGUAAAAUAUUAGAGAUAAAUAUGUUGCUUGUAUUUUUUUAUUUUGUCUGAAUAAACGGGUACUUUUGAAUGGUUCUCAGUGGUGAAAGUCAUUGUCUUCAGGCAGAUGGUGUAAUUAUGACAUCAGCAGGGUCUAAUGGGGUAAUAGUAACCAGCAAAACGUAACUCCUGGCAGUGCCUCGCUAUUUCUAUUUCUAAUUUAACAAUUUCUUGGAAAUCCUUGAAUAUGAUGCAAGUCGGGAAGCAAAUAAGAGAUUUCCAGACUUGUAAAAGUUUUUUUUCUUUUUUUUUUUUCUUUACCUCAAAUUAAAUCAUUUGUUCAGUGCAGCAUUGGUGAUUUCAACAUGAAGUUAAAAGUACUUCAUGUGUUUUAUUACGCUAUGAAUAGAUGCGAGUGUACACAUCUUAAAUACUAAUUAAAACAAUAAAAAAUAAAUCCAUCUUUACCAACUGUCGAC
Carassius auratus (goldfish) is the source of this 1726-nucleotide long non-coding RNA. The record is from Ensembl. NCBI's taxonomy places the organism in Eukaryota, Metazoa, Chordata, Actinopteri, Cypriniformes, Cyprinidae.